GGACCACCAGGAGAGAAAGGGCCCACAGGAAAGCCUGGUCUACCAGGAAUGCCCGGAGCUGACGGUCCUCCAGGUCAUCCUGGAAAGGAAGGCC
Molecule: long non-coding RNA, 94 nt
Organism: Cyprinus carpio (common carp)
Lineage: Eukaryota; Metazoa; Chordata; Actinopteri; Cypriniformes; Cyprinidae
Exons: 3
Source: RefSeq, a predicted model, not a curated record